UUCGCUGUGACAUCUUUGGAAUAUUCCUGCGUGUUGCUCGCUUUUUAUGGACUUGUUGCCUCGAAGAUCGCCAUGAUCGCCUCCGACUCAGCGACAUCAAGGAUUCAAAAUGAGCUGGGAGAGGCCCCAGCUGGAACGGUUCACAUAGGUUGAAGGAGUGCACAUUGAGAAGGUUAUCCUGGCACAGUUUACCAUGGCCUGCCAUGGUGGACCAGGAAAGUUUGCAAGGGCCUUGCUUCACCAUGUGUUCACAGAGGAGGAGCUCAUGGGCCAUUUGGGCUUUGGAAAUAACACCAAGGGGCAAAAAAGGCUCUUGACCCCACCAGGGUCAGUGCUGUUAUAGGCAAGUACCAUAUAUCCUUUCUGGUUGCAUUUUUACAUUCACAUUUUUUUCUAAAAUUAUGAAC
Molecule: long non-coding RNA, 407 nt
Filed under: Dermacentor andersoni
Lineage: Eukaryota; Metazoa; Arthropoda; Arachnida; Ixodida; Ixodidae
Description: uncharacterized LOC126520060
Source: RNAcentral